Molecule: ribosomal RNA, 465 nt
Filed under: uncultured bacterium
Lineage: Bacteria
Description: bacterial SSU rRNA
Rfam family: Bacterial small subunit ribosomal RNA
Source: RNAcentral
CCUACGGGGGGCAGCAGUGGGGAAUAUUGCACAAUGGGCGCAAGCCUGAUGCAGCCAUGCCGCGUGUAUGAAGAAGGCCUUCGGGUUGUAAAGUACUUUCAGCGGGGAGGAAGGUGUUGUGGUUAAUAACCACAGCAAUUGACGUUACCCGCAGAAGAAGCACCGGCUAACUCCGUGCCAGCAGCCGCGGUAAUACGAAGGGUGCAAGCGUUAAUCGGAAUUACUGGGCGUAAAGCGCACGCAGGCGGUCUGUCAAGUCGGAUGUGAAAUCCCCGGGCUCAACCUGGGAACUGCAUCCGAAACUGGCAGGCUAGAGUCUUGUAGAGGGGGGUAGAAUUCCAGGUGUAGCGGUGAAAUGCGUAGAGAUCUGGAGGAAUACCGGUGGCGAAGGCGGCCCCCUAGACAAAGACUGACGCUCAGGUGCGAAAGCGGGGGGAGCAAACAGGAUUAGAUACCCCCGUAGUC